This is a long non-coding RNA of Arachis duranensis, 2056 nucleotides long. RefSeq lists it as uncharacterized. The transcript is spliced from 3 exons. The record is from RefSeq and is a predicted model, not a curated record. NCBI's taxonomy places the organism in Eukaryota, Viridiplantae, Streptophyta, Magnoliopsida, Fabales, Fabaceae.
UUCUAACAUCACUCCCAUCUUACACUCUCCUCACACACACAACGCCGCUUACAUCCCUCACAGCACUCACUCCACUCAAGUGACACACACAGGCAGAAGCGGAGAAAGAAAAGAAAGAAGGAAAGAAAGAAAGGGAGGGCGGAAAGGAAGAGAGAACCGAGGGAGAAGUGGGUCACGCGAGGAGAGGAGAGGGAGUGUGAUGUGGUGCUCAUGCCGCCGCCGUCGUGUCGCGCCAGGAGCUCAGAACCGAGGAGGAGAGAGAGGAGACGUUGGAGGAGAGGAAGACCGUCGCGUCGCCGUUCCUUCGUAGCCGCCGCAGCUGGUUCGCCGUGAAAGAAGCCCGUUGCUGUUUCGACACCGUCAUUGGAGCUGCCGUUGCGUCACUGUUGCUGGUGGAGGAGGAUGAAGUCUCGUGUACAUUUCUAGCUGCCGGGAAAGUCGACGUCGCUGCCGGAACCACCACCGGUGCUGCCGCUGCUUGGUCCAGUAAUUACUCCUUGAGUACGGUAAGCGUUUUCGCAUGAAAGCCUCUGGUAAUUUCAAGUUAUCACUCUUGUAUCCAUAUGUUUUUUUUUCAACUGGUUGAUGAAUUAUGUUUUUCUUGGAGUUAAUUAGGGUUUGAUAAAAUAACCAAAAUUCACUUUCCACUUUUUUCCUCUUUAAAAAAAUAGAAAGAAAAAUUGUGCAUAUAUCUAUACAAUUGAAUUUGGACAAUUACCUUGGGUUAGUAAAUUUAUUUGUUAGUAAGUAAUUGAUCCAACUCUCGUAUGUUAUUGGUGAAAAACACUAUAUGCGAAAUUUUAUAUAAUGCACUGUCAGGUUGUGGCUAAGACAAAUUUGGUCUUUUGUUGUCAGCAUUCUUCCAAGAUUAUACUAUCAUAUUGUGGCUAAGAUAAAUUUGGUCUUUUAUGACUGUUGAAUAUGGCUCUAUAUGGUUUAUUUAGUUUUAUCACUUAAUUUUGAAUGUCUUAAAUAUAAUUUUUUUGGUCUAGUGUAACGAGUCUAUUUAGUUUUUUAAGUAUGGUUAUAUUCAUGGAACUUUUAUAAACUCAAAAUGACUUGUAUUACUAGGUUUUGAAUUGAUGCUAGAAAUGUAAGAACUUCAAGAAACUAAUUAUUAUGUUGCUGAAUAUAUACAUAAUAAUGUUCUUUUUCAAUUCUGUAUACGUUUUAUUUUUCUUUCUUGCGAGUUCUGUGGUGCCUCUCCGGCUCUUUUAAUUAAAAAGGGAUAAUGACAAUCAUUUUUUUAUUUGUUUUAUGUUUUAUUCAAAUCUUUUUCUCUUUUUUAUUGCAAUAGUGUAUCAAGAAGUUUUAAUUGGAGCAUGCACAAACGUGAAUAUCUAAUAUUUUAAUUCUGUCUUAGUUUUUGUUGUUAUUCAAGAGUUGGGUAAUCUCUAUUACUAGUGGAAGGCCAUACUUACUAGUCCAAGGCCAUACUUACUAGUCCAUCAUGGGUACCCGUUCUCCAGUUUGUUGUAAUGUAUCUUUCCUUCCUUUCCCAUUUUAAUUUCAAGUUUCUCUUGCCAUUGGUUAUUGCUGUAAUUUAUCUCUCCAGAUCAUUGAAGUAUAUCAGCAACUAUGUGAUGCAUCAAACACUGUCCAUUUACUAUUAAUCUAUUACCUUAUGAAGUCUUCUUUGGCUCCUAGGUAAACUCAUUUUGUGCUAGUUAAGCUCCAUAUGGCUUUCGAUCCGUAGCUUAUCCUGUGUUGGUGUGUAAGAUUGCACAUUAUUAUAUGCUCAAAAUCAUGGAUGUCUUCAUAAAAGCUGCUGAAUAUAUGAAAAUUCCAGUUCGAGGGACUGAUGACGAACCUCUUCAAAAGCUCUUUAUGUUAGUGAGGAGUAAGUUGAACCUUGACCUCAAGAACAUUAAGGAGUGCUGAAAUGGUGACUAUAUGCUACCUUGAGGGCUCAAAAAUGUUUUAAUGCAUAGAGACACUAAUCUAUGUUAGAACUUUUAUGUUUUGGUUGAACUUUCAUGUUAGAACUUUUAUGUUUUGGUUGAACUAAUUAAUGUACUCACUAGCUAAUGUUAUUUUGUUUCAAGACAAUUUUAGC